AGAGUUUGAUCCUGGCUCAGGAUGAACGCUGGCGGUAUGCCUAACACAUGCAAGUCGUACGAGAGUUUUUAACUCUAGUGGCGGACGGGUGAGUAACACGUGAGAAUUUGCCUUUAGGAGGGGGAUAACAAUUGGAAACGAAUGCUAAUACCCCAUAUGCUUUCGAGUGAAAUGGAUUUAUAUUUAUCCGCCUAGAGAGAAGCUCGCGGCUGAUUAGCUUGUUGGUAAGGUAAGAGCUUACCAAGGCGACGAUCAGUAUCUGGUUUGAGAGGACGAUCAGACACACUGGAACUGAGACACUGCCCAGACACCUACGGGUGGCUGCAGUCGAGAAUCUUCGGCAAUGGACGCAAGUCUGACCGAGCGACGCCGCGUGCGGGAUGAAGGCCUUCGGGUUGUAAACCGCUGUCAGAGGGGAUGAAAUCAUAGAAGGCUAUCCUUCUAUGUUGACAAAGCCUCAGAGAAGCACGGCUAAGU
Molecule: ribosomal RNA, 477 nt
Filed under: uncultured bacterium
Lineage: Bacteria
Description: bacterial SSU rRNA
Rfam family: Bacterial small subunit ribosomal RNA
Source: RNAcentral